Molecule: ribosomal RNA, 450 nt
Filed under: uncultured bacterium
Lineage: Bacteria
Description: partial 16S ribosomal RNA
Rfam family: Bacterial small subunit ribosomal RNA
Source: RNAcentral
GUGGGGAAUUUUGGACAAUGGGCGAAAGCCUGAUCCAGCCAUGCCGCGUGCAGGAUGAAGGCCUUCGGGUUGUAAACUGCUUUUGUACGGAACGAAAAGACUCUGGUUAAUACCUGGGGUCCAUGACGGUACCGUAAGAAUAAGCACCGGCUAACUACGUGCCAGCAGCCGCGGUAAUACGUAGGGUGCAAGCGUUAAUCGGAAUUACUGGGCGUAAAGCGUGCGCAGGCGGUUAUAUAAGACAGAUGUGAAAACCCCAGGCUCAAACUGGGAACUGCAUUUGUGACUGUAUAGCUAGAGUACGGCAGAGGGGGAUGGAAUUCCGCGUGUAGCAGUGAAAUGCGUAGAUAUGCGGAGGAACACCGAUGGCGAAGGCAAUCCCCUGGGCCUGUACUGACGCUCAUGCACGAAAGCGUGGGGAGCAAACAGGAUUAGAAACCCGAGUAGUCC